RNAcentral lists this ribosomal RNA (1798 nucleotides) under Cucurbita moschata (crookneck pumpkin). RNAcentral's name for it is "SSU rRNA". It matches the Rfam family "Eukaryotic small subunit ribosomal RNA". The record is from RNAcentral. Lineage: Eukaryota; Viridiplantae; Streptophyta; Magnoliopsida; Cucurbitales; Cucurbitaceae.
UUUGGUUGAUCCUGCCAGUAGUCAUAUGCUUGUCUCAAAGAUUAAGCCAUGCAUGUGUAUUAUGAACUAAUUCAGACUGUGAAACUGCAAAAGUCUCAUUAAAUCAGUUGUAGUUUGUUUGAUGGUAUUUGCUACUCUGAUAACCGUAGUAAUUCUAGAGCUAAUACAUGCAACAAACCUCAACUUCUGGAAGGGAUGGUUUAUUAGAUAAAAGGUCGACGCAGGCUCUGCCCAUUGCUCUGAUGAUUCAUGAUAACUUGACGGAUCACACGACCAUCGUGCCGGCGACGCAUCAUUCAAACUUCUACCCUAUCAACUUUCGAUGGUAGGAUAGUGGCCUACUAUGGUGGUGACGGCUGACGGAGAAUUAGGGUACGAUUCCGGAGAGGGAGCUUGAGAAACAGCUACCACAUCCAAGGAAGGCAACAUGCACGUAAAUUACCUAAUCCUGACACGGGGAGGUAGUGACAAUAAAUAACAAUACCAGGCUCUUCGAGUUUGGUAAUUGGAAUGAGUACAAUCUAAAUCCCUUAACGAGGAUCAAUUAGAGGGCAAGUCUUGUGUCAGCAGCCGCGGUCAUUCCAGCUCCAAUAGCGUAUAUUUAAGUUGUUGCAGUUAAAAAGCUCAUAGUUGGACCUUGGGUUGGGUGAAUCGGUCUGCCUAUGGUGUGAGCACCGUUUGGUUCUUCCCUUCUGUCUGUGAUGCACUCCUGGCCUUAAUUGGUUGGGUCGUUCCUCUGGCGCUGUUACUUUGAAGAAAUUAGAGUGCUCAAAGCAAGCCUAAGCUCUGUAUACAUUAGCAUGGUAUAACAUCAUAUGAUUUCGAUCCUAUUCUGUUGACCUUCAGGAUCAGAUUAAUGAUUAACAGGGACAGUCAGGAGUAUUCGUAUUUCAUAGUCAGAGGUGAAAUUCUUGGAUUUAUGAAAGAUGAACAACUGCAAAAACAUUUGCCAAGGAUGUUUUCAUUAACCAAGAACGAAAGUUGGGGGCUCGAAGACGAUCAGAUACUGUCCUAGUCUCAACCAUAAACGAUGCCGACCAGGGAUUGACGGAUGUUGCUUUAAGGACUCCACCAGCAGCUUAUGAGAUAUCAAAGUCUUCGGGUUCCAGGGGGAGUAUGGUUGAAAGGCUGAAACUUAAAGAAAUUGACGGAAGGUCACCACCAGGAAGGGAGCCUACGGCUUAAUUUUACUCAACACGGAGAAACUUACCAGGUCCAGACAUAGUAAGGAUUGACAAACUAAGAGCUCUUUCUUGAUUUUAUGGGUGGUGGUGCGUGGUCGUUCUUAGUUGGUGGUGCAAUUUGUCUGGUUAAUUUCGUUAACGACCGAGACCUCAACCUACUAACUAGCUAUGUGGAGGAAUCCCUCUGUGACUAGCUUCUUAGAAGGACUAUGGCCGCUUAGGCCAAGGAAGUUUGAGGCAAUAAUAGGUCUGUGAUGGUCCUAGAUGUUCUGGGCCGCACGCGCGCUACACUGAUGUAUUUAACGAGUCUAUAGCCUUGGCCGAUAGGCCCGAGUAAUCUUUGAAAUUUCAUUGUGAUCGGGAUAGAUCAUUGCAAUUGUUGGUCCUUAAUGCAUAAUUCUUAGUAAGCGCAAGUCAUUAGCUCACAUUGACUAUGUCCCAGCCCUUUGUACACAUGGAUCGUCGCUCCUACUGAUUGAAUGGUCCGAUGAAGUGUACGGAUCGUGGAGACGUGAGCGGUUUGCUGCCUGCGACAUCGCGAGAAGUCCAUUGAACCUUAUCAUUGAGAGGAAGGAGAAGUCAUAACAAGGUUUCCAUACGUGAACCUGCUGAAG